RNAcentral lists this long non-coding RNA (1473 nucleotides) under Homo sapiens (human). Its description in RNAcentral is "HSALNT0405925". The record is from RNAcentral. Lineage: Eukaryota; Metazoa; Chordata; Mammalia; Primates; Hominidae.
AUCUAGCUGGGAAAUGUGGUAGUUUUAAGACAUGUCUGCAAAUUCUUUCAUCUUUUUCUCAUCAAGAUGUGGGUUCUCUAUUCCUCACCUUGAACCUGGGCCCACCUUAAUGAUUGGUUGGUCACCAGCAUAAAGAGGAAGUGAUAUUCUGUGACUUCCAGGCUGGGCCAUAGAAGCCAGGCAGUUUCCUCUUGGUUCCCUGGAUCACUUGCACUGGAGCUGCCACGUAAGAAGUCUGACCAUCCCGAGGCCUCUAUGCUGUGAGGAAGCCCAAAUUAGUCCACAUGGAGAUGCCCUGAGUCUACAAGAAAAGAGAGGACAGACAGAGAUGCUCCUCUAGACACCAUUUCGCUGAAACCACAUGAGGGUUCACCAAGCCAAGACCGCUGAGCUGAGCCUUUCCCAGGUUCCUGACCACAGAAACCAUAAGAGAUAAUAACGUGAUUGAUGGUGGCCAGACACAGUGACUCACACCUGAAAUCCCAGCACUUUGGGAGGCUGAGAUCUAUGCCCCUUGAUAUGACUUUGCAGUUCCUUCUACUAAGAAGAUGAAUCCAUUUCUCCACCCGCUGAGUCUGGGCUGGUCUUGUGAUGUGCGUUAGUCAAUAGAAGUGGCUGAAGUGAUGGCGCGCCAGUUUUUAGCCUACACUUCAAGAAGCCUAUGGACUUCCACUUGCUGUCUUGAAACCCUGUUUGAAAAAGGUUCCCUGAGGACAAGGCCAGACUAGCCUGCUGGAGGGUGAGAGACCACAGGGAGCAGAGACAAGUCAGCUCACAUUAGCAGAACCUCUCAGUCAAUCCACAGACCCGUAAUCUCCUCCCCUGGAGUGUGGACCAGAGUUAGUGACUCACCUCUAACGAAUGAAAUAGCUCAGUCUGAUGGAAGCAGCUGCCCUGUUGUGAGCUCCCCCUAGGGAGAGGCCCACAUGGGAAGAAAUCAAAGUAUGCCUCAAACCAACAGCCAGAGGGAAACUGAGGCUUCAGUCCAACAAGCCAGAAGGAACUGAAUCCCACCAACAACCACUUCAUUGAGCCAAUGAGAAAGCUAAAGCUUGGUGAGAUUACGGAAGCCUACAGUUACACAGCUGACUCCCUCCAGAGGCCCCAUCCACACCCACUGUUGGACUCCUGCUACUCUCGGAGGCUUGGAGUUGGUUUCUCCUCCCCCAAAUCGGUCUCAACACUUACCCUUACUUCCUGCUCUUCGUGGUCUCAGCCUCACUGUUCUUCGUGGACUCAUUUUUUCUCUUCCCUUUGUUUUAUUUUUGUCUCUUUCUUUCUUUUUUGGCUUCAGUGGAGUCCUAGCCUUAAGGUUUUCCUUCUCUAACCCCUUGUUCCCCUUCCAUUCUCUUUCCAGCCCUCUGUAAGCUGCAGCACAGUGUUUACAGUUAAGCCAGCCUCCAUUGAGGCCUUCAGUUGCCGAAGUUCAAAAAAAUCAACCUAGAAUAACAACGUAUUGUUAUAUAAAUGGCA